RNAcentral lists this ribosomal RNA (254 nucleotides) under uncultured bacterium. RNAcentral's name for it is "partial 16S ribosomal RNA". It matches the Rfam family "Bacterial small subunit ribosomal RNA", at positions 524 to 776 of the family's 1533-position model. The record is from RNAcentral.
UACGGGGGGAGCAAGCGUUGUUCGGAUUUACUGGGCGUAAAGGGCGCGUAGGCGGUCAGCACAAGUCAGUUGUGAAAUCUCCGGGCUUAACUCGGAAAGGUCAACUGAUACUGUGCGACUAGAGUGCGGAAGGGGCAACUGGAAUUCUCGGUGUAGCGGUGAAAUGCGUAGAUAUCAGGAGGAACACCGGUGGCGAAGGCGCUCAUCUGGCCCAAUACUGACGCUGAAGCGCGAAAGCUAGGGGAGCAAACGGG